This is a long non-coding RNA of Mirounga angustirostris (Northern elephant seal), 528 nucleotides long. RefSeq lists it as uncharacterized. NCBI's taxonomy places the organism in Eukaryota, Metazoa, Chordata, Mammalia, Carnivora, Phocidae. The record is from RefSeq and is a predicted model, not a curated record. The transcript is spliced from 3 exons.
AGAUCCAUGGUGAGACUGAGCUCUUGUCAGUCUUCGAUGCUGGUGAAUCUUUGAGAGACCACAAUUUACCACAAAUGCUGAGCACCUUGAGGGCAGGACUGUGAAGUAACAGGCUAUUUCACAAUACUGAGCAUGGAGGCCGGUUCAGAGCAAGGAUGCAAGAAAUGUUUAUGGAACGAACAACCAGCCAAAAGAAUUUCAUCAUAAUAGUAUUACAUGUUCCUUUGGAAUAUGGAGAGGAGGAAGAAUCACCCUUCAUUCUACUGCCCAGACCAAAACUAACUGCGAGCCCUGAGGAGAGCCACCCCUGCCCCCAGGUGCUCAUGUGGACCAUCUCAGUUGAUCAAGGACAAUAAACAGGCGUUACUCACCAAUUGUACAUACUGAGUAAACAGCAACUCAAAGAUCAGACCCAUAGAUGAGUGGAUCUCAGAUAGCGGUGGUUUUGCCCCCUUCUCUCUCUAGGGGACAUUUGGCAAUUUGGGGAGACAUUUUUUAUCGUCACAAUGUGUGGGGCAGAAGGGAAGC